UGUUGACGGGGCCGAGCUUGGCUCUUGGUGCCCGUGGCCACCCCCUACCUGCCCGGCUCCGGGUCUGACCCCAGCUUGGUGGGCAGGAUCAUCACCCGAGCUGAGCUCUUAGUGUUGGCGCGCCGCAGUCCAGCCUGCUGCAUCUCUCCCGGAUCUCUGACCGGCUCCCUCUGCCUGUCCCCGCUCCCCCUGCGCUGUUCCCGACUCUGGGGGGUGGGGGGGUCGACGUCACAUCUGAUCUGCUUGAGAGUCAAUGGGGAUGUGUCCUCCUUCCAACCAGGAGGAGUGAGAGGCUGCAGCUAUCCUGGCCUGGGCCCCCCGCGGCCAGAGCUGGGGUGCAGGGACAUUGCUUUUGGAAGUGACCUCAGGGCCCAGGAGUGGGGCUGCGGAGGGAGCACCAGGGGAGACAGACCAACCCAGGGUGCGGUUGCAAGCUGGGCCCUGCAGUGAGCUGAUGGCGGACCCCCAAAAAAGACAGGUCCAGAUCCUCAUCCCCUGCAGCCUGGGAAUGAGGUCUUAUUUGGAAAAAAGGUCUUUACAGACGUAAUUAAGGAUCUCGAUAUGAGAUCAUCCUGGAUUUAGGGUGGGCCCUGCACCCAAUGACAGGCGUCCUUAUCAGGGAAGGGCAGAGGGAGAUUUGAGACAGAGACACGCGGAGAAGGCCUGCGAUGACCUUCGGAGGCAGAGAUGGCAGUGACGGGAUUUGAGGACUAGGAGGGGCCACAAGCCAAGGAAUGCAGGUGGGCUCCAGAACUGGACAAGGCCGGGACCCGGGUCCUCCCUUCAGAGGUUCCAGGAGGAGCUGUACCUGACACGCUGACUUUAGCCUGGAGAGACUGAUUUCGGAUUUCCAGCCUCCAGAAUGGGUGCAGGAUGCAGCAGGUCGAGGCUGAAGGUCCCGCCCUGGGACUGACUUCAUGCCCCCAGUGUUCCCAUCGAAUCAGCCCACCCUUCUGGUACCUUCUCAGUCCGGGGCCGGGAUGUUUGGAUAUCCUUGCAGUUCUGACUGGAAAAUCACAUCUUCCUGGCACUUCCACUGCAUCCCUGGAGGAAGAAGGCAUUGAAGAACCAGAGUCCUGGGUUUGAGUUCCUUAC
RNAcentral lists this long non-coding RNA (1095 nucleotides) under Equus caballus (horse). RNAcentral describes it as "lncRNA (ENSECAG00000060355.1)". The record is from RNAcentral. Lineage: Eukaryota; Metazoa; Chordata; Mammalia; Perissodactyla; Equidae.